AAUGGGUCAGCGACUUAUAUUCUGUAGCAAGGUUAACCGAAUAGGGGAGCCGAAGGGAAACCGAGUCUUAACUGGGCGUUAAGUUGCAGGGUAUAGACCCGAAACCCGGUGAUCUAGCCAUGGGCAGGUUGAAGGUUGGGUAACACUAACUGGAGGACCGAACCGACUAAUGUUGAAAAAUUAGCGGAUGACUUGUGGCUGGGGGUGAAAGGCCAAUCAAACCGGGAGAUAGCUGGUUCUCCCCGAAAGCUAUUUAGGUAGCGCCUCGUGAAUUCAUCUCCGGGGGUAGAGCACUGUUUCGGCAAGGGGGUCAUCCCGACUUACCAACCCGAUGCAAACUGCGAAUACCGGAGAAUGUUAUCACGGGAGACACACGGCGGGUGCUAACGUCCGUCGUGAAGAGGGAAACAACCCAGACCGCCAGCUAAGGUCCCAAAGUCAUGGUUAAGUGGGAAACGAUGUGGGAAGGCCCAGACAGCCAGGAUGUUGGCUUAGAAGCAGCCAUCAUUUAAAGAAAGCGUAAUAGCUCACUGGUCGAGUCGGCCUGCGCGGAAGAUGUAACGGGGCUAAACCAUGCACCGAAGCUGCGGCAGCGACACUAUGUGUUGUUGGGUAGGGGAGCG
RNAcentral lists this ribosomal RNA (623 nucleotides) under Escherichia coli. Its description in RNAcentral is "bacterial LSU rRNA". It matches the Rfam family "Bacterial large subunit ribosomal RNA", at positions 614 to 1238 of the family's 2925-position model. Lineage: Bacteria; Pseudomonadati; Pseudomonadota; Gammaproteobacteria; Enterobacterales; Enterobacteriaceae. The record is from RNAcentral. RNAcentral also lists the same sequence under 4 other names.